Peromyscus maniculatus bairdii (prairie deer mouse) is the source of this 659-nucleotide non-coding RNA. NCBI's taxonomy places the organism in Eukaryota, Metazoa, Chordata, Mammalia, Rodentia, Cricetidae. The record is from RefSeq and is a predicted model, not a curated record.
CAACCCUCGGACACCUUGCCCUUCUGUCCCUCCCCCAAUUUACCUCAUCUUCAUUCUCCACUUUAGGGUUGCUGGCUGUUCGUUUCAGGUUGCUGCUGAGACUUAUGCUGACUGUAGCAUCUGACUUGGAGCGCUGGUACAAACUCCAGGAACUGGAAGGGCUGUAAAAGACAAAAAGAAAUCAGGACUCAUGGGUCUCUAACUUCUGAAAAACCAGGGACACACAGGAGUUGAAACUUGGCUCUCUCUCGGGAUGGACUAGAAGUAGUCAGAGAACACUGCUGGUGAAAGCCACGGAUCCUCCAGGAGCCUUCAGAGUGUCACCAAACCAGAUCAGAAGAGUGAGCGAAAAGCAGAAGAAAAGGAUCUCAGAGUGACCAGAUCAGGAGAAAAGUCUACAACACUGUGUCAGAUGAUUCUGGCUUUAGAAUCUGGAUAUAGCCAUCAGUAGACUCAGAGACCUCUUUCCAAAUAAAGAGAGCAUCCAAUGCACCACUUUAGAAGAAGGGAGAGGCUUCUGUAGAACCAGAAAGAACCAUCCUCCGGAGGACUGGAGACUGAGAAGGGGGAACGCGAAGCCAAAGACAACCAACUCCAGGUAUCAUCAGGCACCCCAGAGCAGGGCUGAGCACCGAGGUCAAAGUAGAUGGGAUCCUGGG